GCAAAGUAUUUCGAACCCAUUUAGGGUACCAACCGAGUGUAGACACCACGGUGGUAAAACAAUACGGGCCCGUCCGGUCAAAAUAAACGUAAGUU
Molecule: non-coding RNA, 95 nt
Filed under: Flavobacteria bacterium BAL38
Lineage: Bacteria; Pseudomonadati; Bacteroidota; Flavobacteriia; Flavobacteriales
Also listed under: 1 other name
Description: SAM-I/IV (S-adenosyl methionine) riboswitch aptamer
Rfam family: SAM-I/IV (S-adenosyl methionine) riboswitch aptamer
About the family: It is found upstream of a number of genes which code for proteins involved in methionine or cysteine biosynthesis.
Source: Rfam by way of RNAcentral